ACAGAUGGAUUCAUUUUAAGUUUUAUCCUUUUUCAGUCAAGAGAUGCUAAUGAGGCCACUUCACUUUGCACCAUGACCCUGGCUGGCACAGUGUGUGCCAACACCAGCCACGGGAUGGACUGGAGCAGCUGCCUUCCCCAGGGCCAAGCCAUUAUUUCCAAAACUACAGAAAAACAUUAUCCUGCUGAAUAAUGGCUGAAGAGACCAAGCACCAUCCCAGCCAUCUCACUCCAGGAUUAGGGACUGUGCCUAACCCUGGAAUUACUGACAUCUGUAUAUCAUUUCAGUGGUAAAUUACAGCUGGGACAUGCUAACCCCAAAGUGAAAAUAAAGACCCCAGACAUCAUCAAAGCUGUUACAGGUCUCUAGGAAUAGCUCCAUUUUAGUCUCAGAUGUGAUGAUAUCUAAGCAUUGGCUGGGAAUCUCUGUUCUCAUCAGUA
Non-coding RNA from Lonchura striata (white-rumped munia), 440 nucleotides. NCBI's taxonomy places the organism in Eukaryota, Metazoa, Chordata, Aves, Passeriformes, Estrildidae. The record is from RefSeq and is a predicted model, not a curated record.